UGAUGCCAUUGUUUUUAACAGCUGAGUGAUACUCCAAUGUUAAACGAAAGCAUGAGCUGUAAUCAACCUUUUUCCUUUGCUGUGCUUCUGUCUGGGAAAGGAACUGAGACACUUCCUAUGCACCUUUCCUUGGGUGAUAUGUCUGAGAAGAAGAAGGAAAUAAAACAAGAGAAGGGUUCAAGAUAUAAGUUCUCAGCUUUCUACCCCAACUACCAUUCCUCAGCUCUGCCAUCGUGGACUCUCAUCCUUCAGGAACCAUAAGCCCAACACACCUUUCUUCCAUAAGUCCUGUGGUCAGUGUUUUAUCUUGGGAAUAGAAAGGUAACUAAUACGGAAGUUGGAUCAAAAUGAACUGGCAUUGUAUACAGUUGUGAGCUGUCAUGUGGUUCAUAGGAACAGAACACAGGUCCUCUGGAAGAACAGUUGAACCAUCUCUUCUAGUCCAGCCUGGCCUACUUUAAUAAAGGACUAAGACCAUGCAGCUGAACAAAAGCAAUAAGGUUGGAAAAUACCGUGAUUGUGGUCUACAUUAAAUUGACUGUACCAUUUUACUUUGCCAUGACUCUGGGUUAACUGUAAAGAGUGAGGUGCAACAGCAGGUCAUCAAAGGUCCAUCUCAGGUUUCCCAUGGUCCAUCCUUGAUCUGCCUCCAUCUCUCCCUGCCUGAAGAAAUGUGUGAAAUCAGUGAUGCCUCUGUGUUGAAUAAACAAAGGGAGAAAUAAGAACAGCACUUAAAGGAGAGAGAAAGACUUUUCUUUUGGGUCUCAAAUUAGAAGGGAGGUGGGGGUAUUGAGAUAUGAAAUCAUGUUUCUAUUUCAAGCCCGGUGGCUUAUUUCCCUUGAAUGGAUUAAUUUACUGUGGUGGUAUCCUGGCUUAGCAUCCACAGAGAAGGUAAUUUUAAAAUCUUUGCCCUCUCCAGGGUCACUUUAGGCUGGAGUGCUGUAUGUGCCAUGAUACCACCACUUUUCAGAAGCCUUCCUUGUUUUGAGAUGUUAACCUUGCAGAUAGAUCCCUAGUGGUUUCUGCUGGUGGCUUUCUUCCUACUGCAAUUCUUCUGUCUUUUGAGUCAUUCAUCCAUUUCUCUACUUGGGAAAUUCAUCGUAUUUCCCAGUAAACGUUUUAGUUUUUAUUCAGCAGCACAUAAAAAAGGACAACAAAUGUUUUUUACACUUCCUAUGUGCUCAACAGUGCCCAGGGAACUUACAGGAUUUCAUUUAAUUCACAAAUUGUAUUCACAGUAGUUUCAGCACAGGAGAGGCAGUACACCCAAAGACAGACAGGAUGGAAACCAACACCACAGACUCCCAUUGACCACUUCUGAUAAAAGCAUGUCUCUAAGUCUAAGUUUUAUACUGUAUUAUUAGUAUAAGGGUCAUUCCUGUGCUUUGGCACACAUGUGGAAAUCAGACGACACCUUGCAUAAGUCCAUUCUCUCUUACUAGUGAACCUCAGGGGUUGAACUCAGGCUCGAGGCAAGUGCCUUUACCCACUGAUCCCUAUUGUCAGUCCAAUUUCUAAAUUUCAUGCCCUUUUGAAUCUCUGCUAAAAAUAUUUUACACUCACAUCUUUUCUUGGUAAUUUUUCAAACAGCUCUCAGGAAACUACCUGAGUUACUGAACACCAGAUUACCUGCUUCUGAGAAACCACAUCUUAAUUUUGGUCUGGAGUAUCUAUCCAUUUUGGGUAUACCAUGGACCCAACUCCCCCUCCACUACCACGAAUGCACUGGUGUCUGCAAGUACAGAUUUAGAACUGCUUACACUGAACGAGGCAGUGCUGGUCGGGGUUCCUGGUGGCCUUAGAGACCUUAUGUCAUCAAUCUUUCUCCACUUCUCCUGUUUCCAAGCACAGUGGGAAAGACAACUUGCUGCAAAAUAUAAUGAAGGUUGUCAUCAGUAUGUGACCAAACAGACUUCCUUAUUCCAGACUUCCCACACCUACAGCUGAUACCAUUAACUUGUCUAACCCACUUGGUCUAUGUAUUUCUUUAUGGCAAAUCUGUUGACUAGAAAAUUCUAAUGCAGAAUAUGUAGGACAUCAACCAGGGACCAUAUGUUUCAGAACCUAUUUGACUUGCUUAAAUUGUUCAGAAGAGUGACUCUAAAAGUUGCUUUUAGAUUGUGUAAAUGUAUGCACUGUAUGUAAAUUCCUCUAAGCACUCUCUGUACUCUCUACUGCCCCUUCUCCUUCCUUGCCCCCUUCUUCUCUCAAGCAGUUUUCCUUCUGCUCAUAACAUGUAGUAUGUUCAUGUCAUAUGUUCUCUCUUUCAUGCAUAUACUCACACACUUUCAUUCACACAC
Molecule: long non-coding RNA, 2300 nt
Organism: Mus caroli (Ryukyu mouse)
Lineage: Eukaryota; Metazoa; Chordata; Mammalia; Rodentia; Muridae
Source: RefSeq, a predicted model, not a curated record